This 478-nucleotide ribosomal RNA is filed under the name uncultured bacterium. RNAcentral describes it as "partial 16S ribosomal RNA". It matches the Rfam family "Bacterial small subunit ribosomal RNA", at positions 28 to 507 of the family's 1533-position model. The record is from RNAcentral.
GAUGAACGCUGGCGGCGUGCUUAACACAUGCAAGUCGAACGGGAAACCUUUUAUUGAAGCUUCGGCAGAUUUAGCUGGUUUCUAGUGGCGGACGGGUGAGUAACGCCUGGGUAACCUGCCUUAUACAGGGGGAUAACAACCAGAAAUGGUUGCUUAUACCGCAUAAGCGCACAGGACCGCAUGGUCCGGUGUGCAAAACUCCGGUGGUAUAAGAUGGACCCGCGUUGGAUUAGCUAGUUGGCAGGGUAACGGCCUACCAAGGCGACGAUCCAUAGCCGGCCAGAGAGAGUGAACGGCGACAUUGGGACUGAGACACAGCGCGGACUCCUACGGGAGGCAGCAGUGGGGAAUAUUGCACAACGGGGGAAACCAUGAUGCAGCGAGGCCGCGUGAAGGAAGAAGUAUCGCGGUAUGUAAACUUCUAUCAGCAGGGAAGGUAGUGACGGUACCUGACUAAGAAGCCCCGGCUAACUACGUG